This 301-nucleotide ribosomal RNA is filed under the name uncultured bacterium. Its description in RNAcentral is "partial 16S ribosomal RNA". It matches the Rfam family "Bacterial small subunit ribosomal RNA", at positions 509 to 809 of the family's 1533-position model. The record is from RNAcentral.
CAGUCGCCGCGGUAAUACGUAGGUGGCAAGCGUUGUCCGGAAUUAUUGGGCGUAAAGCGCGCGCAGGCGGAUAGGUCAGUCUGUCUUAAAAGUUCGGGGCUUAACCCCGUGAUGGGAUGGAAACUGCCAAUCUAGAGUAUCGGAGAGGAAAGUGGAAUUCCUAGUGUAGCGGUGAAAUGCGUAGAUAUCAGGAAGAACACCAGUGGCGAAGGCGACUUUCUGGACGAAAACUGACGCUGAGGCGCGAAAGCCAGGGGAGCGAACGGGAUUAGAGACCCCUGUAGUCCCUGUCUCUUAUACA